Molecule: ribosomal RNA, 354 nt
Filed under: Cytobacillus firmus
Lineage: Bacteria; Bacillati; Bacillota; Bacilli; Caryophanales; Bacillaceae
Description: bacterial SSU rRNA
Rfam family: Bacterial small subunit ribosomal RNA
Source: RNAcentral
GGGCACCUGCCUGUAAGACUGGGAUAACUCCGGGAAACCGGGGCUAAUACCGGAUAAUUCUUUCCCUCACAUGAGGGAAAGCUGAAAGAUGGUUUCGGCUAUCACUUACAGAUGGGCCCGCGGCGCAUUAGCUAGUUGGUGAGGUAACGGCUCACCAAGGCAACGAUGCGUAGCCGACCUGAGAGGGUGAUCGGCCACACUGGGACUGAGACACGGCCCAGACUCCUACGGGAGGCAGCAGUAGGGAAUCUUCCGCAAUGGACGAAAGUCUGACGGAGCAACGCCGCGUGAGUGAUGAAGGUUUUCGGAUCGUAAAACUCUGUUGUUAGGGAAGAACAAGUACCGGAGUAACUG